CUAAGCAUAUCAAUAAGCGGAGGAAAAGAAACCAACAGGGAUUGCCUCAGUAACGGCGAGUGAAGCGGCAAAAGCUCAAAUUUGAAAUCCUUCGGGAGUUGUAAUUUGUAGGUUGGGAGACCCCGCGGCUAGUGGCACCAAGUCCCUUGGAACAGGGCGCCUUAGAGGGUGAGAGCCCCGUAGGUACCACAACACCGUCUUGUGUCUCCUCUCCAAAGAGUCGAGUUGUUUGGGAAUGCAGCUCAAAGUGGGUGGUAAAUUCCAUCUAAAGCUAAAUACCGGCGAGAGACCGAUAGCGAACAAGUACAGUGAUGGAAAGAUGAAAAGCACUUUGAAAAGAGAGUGAAACAGUACGUGAAAUUGUUGAAAGGGAAGGGCUUGCAAGCAGACACGGCCUUCGUGCCGGGCCAGCAUCGGUUGCUAGGGGUGGAUAAGGAACAAGGAAUGUAGCUCCUCGGAGUAUUAUAGCCUUGCGCGAUACACCCACUGGCGACCGAGGCCUGCGGUAUUCUUUACCUAGGAUGCUGGCGUAAUGGUUGCAAGCCGCCCGUCUUGAAACACGGACCAAGGAGUCUAACGUCUAUGCGAGUGUUUGGGUGGAUAAAACCCCAGCGCGGAAUGAAAGUAAGAGGUUGGAGCCCGCAUGGGCGCACAAUCGACCGACCCAGAAGUUUACGGACGGGUUUGAGUAGGAGCAUAGCUGUUGGGACCCGAAAGAUGGUGAACUAUACCUGGAUAGGGUGAAGCCAGAGGAAACUCUGGUGGAGGCUCGUAGCGGUUCUGACGUGCAAAUCGAUCGUCGAAUCUGGGUAUAGGGGCGAAAGACUAAUCGAACCAUCUAGUAGCUGGUUCCUGCCGAAGU
This 862-nucleotide ribosomal RNA is filed under the name Sungouiella intermedia. RNAcentral's name for it is "LSU rRNA". It matches the Rfam family "Eukaryotic large subunit ribosomal RNA", at positions 34 to 967 of the family's 3401-position model. Lineage: Eukaryota; Fungi; Ascomycota; Pichiomycetes; Serinales; Metschnikowiaceae. The record is from RNAcentral.